This 78-nucleotide small nucleolar RNA is filed under the name Olea europaea subsp. europaea. RNAcentral's name for it is "Small nucleolar RNA U83". It matches the Rfam family "Small nucleolar RNA U83". The record is from Rfam by way of RNAcentral. Lineage: Eukaryota; Viridiplantae; Streptophyta; Magnoliopsida; Lamiales; Oleaceae.
UGCCAAUGAUGAUUGAAGUGAUAUUCAUUCAUGAGAAAUCUUUGAUUACAGCAACACUACUGCCUUCCUUCUGAGGCG